GCCCUUGUGGUGAAAUUGGUAGACACGCUGGCUUCAGGUGCCAGUGGUAGCAAUACUGUACUGGUUCAAGUCCAGUCAAGGGCA
This 84-nucleotide transfer RNA is filed under the name Candidatus Moraniibacteriota bacterium. Its description in RNAcentral is "tRNA-Leu". It matches the Rfam family "tRNA". From Rfam's summary of the family: Transfer RNA (tRNA) molecules are approximately 80 nucleotides in length. The record is from RNAcentral. Lineage: Bacteria; Candidatus Moraniibacteriota.